RNAcentral lists this long non-coding RNA (7658 nucleotides) under Manihot esculenta (cassava). RNAcentral's name for it is "long non-coding RNA (MESC_LNC011139)". Lineage: Eukaryota; Viridiplantae; Streptophyta; Magnoliopsida; Malpighiales; Euphorbiaceae. The record is from RNAcentral.
UUUGUUGGAAUGUCUCAUAAAGGUUUAGUUCCUGAUGUUGUUACUUAUUCUACUCUUAUAGAGGGUAUGUUUCAAGCAGGGAGGCCCCAAACUGCACAGGAGCUCUUUAAGAAUAUGUGCUCUCAUGGUCAACAGCCAAAUAUAGUAACCUUCUCAAUUAUGAUUAAUGGCUUGUGUAGUCAGGGGAAUCUCGAUGAAGCACUCACCCUAUUGAAAAAAAUGGAGGAAAGUCAGUUAAAGCCUAAUCUUGUGACCUAUUGCAUUCUGAUCAAUGGUAUGUGCAAAGCUGGCAAGAUUAAUGAUGCCAAGGAACUGUUUUCUAGUCUUUUUGAAAAUGGUUUACAACCUAAUGUUCAUAUAUAUAGUGCAAUUAUGAAAGGACUCUGCCAACAAGGAUUAAUGGAUGAAGCGUAUAAGGUAUUUAAAGACAUGGAAGAGGUAGGAUGUUUACCAAAUAAUUGUUGUUAUAAUAUCAUCAUUCAAGGGUUUCUCAAGCAUGAGGAUUUACCAAAAGCAUCAGAACUAAUCAACGAAAUGGUUGAUAAGGGGUUCUCUGCUGAUGCUGCUACCACAGAAUUGGUAGUACAUUUAUCGCGGAAUAAUGAUCUCAUUCUAAGCAAACUACGAAAUCGUUCUGAGGCUUCUAAAGGGGUGCAAUGAGCGAUCAGCAAACUAAAGUUGUUAUAUCUUGACCAUUCAAGGGUGUCUUGGAGAGAAAUUUGGUAAUUACCUUCUUCAAAUGUAGUAGAUAUGUAAUUUAACAAACUUCUUAAAAUUUCAUUUUUAAUUUCAAUCAGCUAUGAUUGUCUUCCACAAAAUGAAAAUUUCUAACACUGUAAAUUACUGCAUUGGAAACCAUGAUAUGUGUGUGCUUUUCGCUUGAACUCAGACUUGGACUGGAUCUCUUUGGAUAUAAGAUUGUUGAUGAAUGGAGGUCAUAGAUUUCUAAUGAUCAAGUUGCUGGUAAACCCACCAUAUUCCUUACAAUUUUUUUUGGGCUGCUACUAUAGCCUUAACUCGAGAGCUCAGUCCUAAAAAUGAGUUGAGAACUAAAACUAAUUGAUUCCAUGCUACAAUGCUUAAGAAUCUUUAUCUAUUUUACUUUUGUGCUCAAUGAUCUUUUAAGAUACUAUCAUUUUUCAGUAAACAUGCUGCAUUAGGACAAUAACUUGGAGAUUUUAUCAUGUAUUUUGAUUUUUACUAGUAAGAAUGCAGGUGUUAAAUCAGUGAACUAGCAGGUGUUAACACCUGCUUUCUGUAUCAUUUUACCAAAGCUACUCAUGCCUGUUUCCGUCCAUUAGAAUUUAACACCUACUAGUUUAUCAUAUACAUGCAUUACUUGUAAUUAGUUUAUGCUUCCAAAAUGAUGUCUAUUUAUUGCUAGUUUAUUACUUGUAGUAAGUUUAUGCUCAAAAUAAUUUCUAUUUGUUGCUCCUUGAGUUAAUACUUAUAACUUGAACUAGAGUUAAUACUUACUCCUUGAGUGCAAGUUUUAACACCUACUCGUUGAGUUUAAGUAGUAAUUUGAGUUUUUGCAACAGGUACAUCAGAGAUUGAGCAUGGUGCAGUAUCUCUUCCACCAGUCCACCAGGUCUUUUCCCGCAUGCCUGAGAUGAAGAUGGAUUAGAUGAGCAAAUCGAGGAUUUUUGUUGAUUACUUUUUGUAUACAUUUUGGGGUACUAUUUAUUUUGGCAUUUACUACAAAAAUAUGCUUUUAAUUAUACAUUUUUUGUGGUUUUACUAGAUUAUUUGUGUUCAAUUUUAAGUUCAAAAGACUUUUCUUUUUAUUAUAAUUGAAUAUAUUAGAUUUGUGGUUGAUUUGUGUUAUAUUAUGCAUUUAAUAGGUUGGUUUUGUGAUGUUUGUAAUUAUUUUGGAUCGGUUAAAUAAAAAUUGCAAACGAAAUUGCAAUUGAAAAUCUGGUUCAAAUUUCGUAAAGGGUGUAAAGAAGCAACAUUGAGUCACUUUGCCUUGUAGAUGAUUUGUUUUUGUUUUGUCAUGGGGCUAGGAAUUUGGUCUGUGGGCUUGGAGAGGCCUUGAAGUUGAGGAGGUUUUAGGAUUGCAAGUAAAUGAGUCUAAGAGCUGUGUUUAUCUUGCAAGAGUGCUAGAGGAGAUGAAGCAGCAAAUUCUACAAUUCCUCAAUUUCAGGGAGGGAUUUCUUCCUGUUAUCUAUUUGGGAUUACCUCUGGUAUCUACUAGUAUUAAAAAAGAGCAUUGUCAGAAGCUUAUUAGUAUAAUAACUAGUAGAAUUGACUCAUGGUCUGCUAAAUAAUUAUCCUAUGCUGGUAGGGUACAUGGUGAGGAAUAAGUUGAAAAGCCUCAGUUUUUGGGGAUCUCUAAACCUUGUAAUGCUAGUUGAUCUUGAAAGAAUCUGGUGAAAAUUACAGAUUAUUUUAGAAAGCAUUAUGCAUAUAAGUUGGGAAGAGGGGUUUUUCAUUUUGGUAUGACCCUUGCAUGGGUGGGAAAAGUCUUGUUGAGAGGCCUCUGAGUUGAAUAUGGGAUAUUCUGACAUCAUAGACAUGCUAAGGUGAGGGACGGUAUGUGGAGGGAUGGUAUGUGGAGGCUUCCUAAUCCAUUGGAUUCCACUAUGGAAGGAGCCUGGGAAGAGGUUCGAAAAUUUUAUGUAAGCAAUGAAUGGGCAGAUUCUAUUAAAUAGAAACUCAUAGACUUACACUGUUAAUAGUGCUUGGAAUUUAAGGAUGAAUAGACGAAGCAUAUAAGAUAUGUAGGAGGAUGUUUACCGAAUAAUUGUUGUUAUAAUAUCAUCAUUCAAGGAUUUCUCAAGCAUGAAGAUUUACCAAAAGUAUCAGAAUUAAUCAAUGAAAUGGUUGACAAGGGAUUGUCUGCUGAUGCUACUACCACCGAAUUGGUAGUUCGUUUAUUGUGCAACGAUGAUCUCAUUUUGAGGCUUUUAAAGGUAAGCAGCGAGGGAUUAGCAAACUAAAGUUGUUAUAUCUUGACCAUUCAAGUGUGUCUUGGAGCCCAACUUGGUAAUUACCUGUUUCAAAUAUAAUAGAUAUGUAAUUUAACUAACUUCUUUAAAUAUCAAUUUUUAAUUUCAAUCAGCUGUGAUUCUCUUCCACAAAUCAAAAAUAUCUAACACUGCAAAUGACCUGUAGUGGAAACCAUGAUAUGUGUGUGCCUUUCGCUUGAAUUCAGACAUAGACUUGAUCUCUUUGAUAUAAGAUUGUUGAUGAAUGGAGGUCAUGGAUUUCUAACGAUCAAGUUGCUGGUAAACCCACCAUCUCCUUUAUAAUUUUUUUUUGCUGCUACUACAGCCUUACCACUAGAGCUCAGUCCUAAAAAUGAGUUGAGAACUAAAAUUAAUUGGUUCCAUACUACAACGCUUAAGAAUUUUUAUCUAUUUUUAUUUUUGUGCUCAGUGACCUUUUAAAAUGCUAUCAUUUCUCUUAUAGGUACUUGCAAGAAUAUGAUUACAAUUUCAUCUUUCUAACAAUAAAGGUAUAAGCAAUUCUUUUUUGCUUAAUUAUUAUAUUUUUAAUAAUAAUGAAAAUAAUGAUUAUAAAUCACUGUGCUUUAAUUGAGAAUUAAUUUAAUAAUUAGACUACAUUAUAAAUGCAAGAUGCAUGAUAUACCAUUCUAGAGUAUAAGGUAAGAGAAUCACUAGACUUGUACAGUUGUUGGUUGUAUGAAAUGUCACUAAAAUUAUAGAUAAUAGAAAAUAUUGUGGGAAUUGAGGGUCUUUGUCACCUUUUUUUGUCUAGUCAUGAAGUUGCUUAAUUUCUUUUAUUUUCCUUCAAAUCAAAUCAGUAAAAUCAUUGCAUUAACAUCUAAUAAUAUGAAGUUCACAAUCUUUUCCAAUGAAAUCAAUUUUUUAACAUGAAAAUUUGAAUUUUAGAAAUGCUUGUGGAAGGUAUAUAUAUAUUCUUUCCUUUUAGAUUCUUUAUUUUGUGCCAAGGUGAUUGGAUUACUGUUUGAAAUGUUAGUUAAGUUACACAAAAAAAAAGUUGUUUCGGUUGUUUUAUAAAGUCAAACCCUUUGAUAUUCUUAUUAAUUAAAAUAUUUAGAUUUGAUUAGAACAACUAAAUUAUAUAUGUAUAAUUAAAAUAAAUAAAUAAUACAAAAAUUUAUUUUAAUCGAAUAACAUAAAAAUAAAAAAUUAAAUAGUCAAUUUUGAUAAAAUAUAAGAACCAAAAAUAAUUCACUCUUUUAUAUUUUAAAGUAAUUUUUUGGACUCUUCAUGGCAAAUUCUCAGUAAUUUUACCAAUUAUAUCUAACAUUUAUAUACUUCUUUUUUUCAAGUUUUAUUUUUUCUAUUUAUGCAUUGAUUUUUAUUUCUUAUGAGAAUUGCUGGCAAAAUAAUAUUGCAGUGAUAUAUAUAUAUAUUCGUUUGACACCAAAUCCUUGAAAUAAAGUUAAUAUAAAAAUUAAGACUUUAUUUUGUUUUAUAAAAAAUAUUUUAUAAAAAAUAUUACACCAUAACAAAUAUAGUUUUAAUGAUAAAAAAUAAGGAGUAAUUUAGGGUUCAUUCAAUAUCCCUUCAUGAUUUUUGUUUUUUGUUUUCUCAAAAAUUGAUUAUAUAAAAAUAAGUAUAAAAUUUUAUAUAAUGGUAAGAAAUAAUAUAAUUUUUUAAAAUAUAAUAUUUGAUAGUAAAAUAAUAAUAUAAAUAAUUUUAUAAAUGGUUAUACAUAAAAAUAUUAAUAUACAUAUUUAAUAAAUUAUGUUUAUACAGUAAAGGACAUUAUAACAAAAAAUUAUUAUUUGAUUGUCAUAUAAAAAAUUUAUUAAUUAAUUUAUUUUUUAAAAAUACAUUAAAAGUUUUCUGAGAUUUUAAAAAGUUUAGCGGUUAGUCCAACAUUACUUUUAUUUGUUAAGUAUUAUAAAAAUAAAAAUUAUUAUUUAGUUAUUGCAAUAUAAAAAAAUUUAUAAAUUAAUUCAUUAAUUUUAAAAAAUAUAUUAAAAUAUUUUUAAUUUUAAAAAAUUCAAUAAUUAAUCUCUCCAUUAAUUUUAACUGUUUAGUUUUAUAAAAAAGUUUCAAAUGUUCUAAUAUGAAAAAACUAAUUAGUAAAUAUUUUUAUAAAAUUAAGAGAUUAACUAAUGAAUUUUCUCCUAUUAUAUAAAUUAAUUAGUAAAAUAUUUAAUAAAUAAAACUAAUGGGAGGACUAAUUAAUAUAUUUUUAAUACUUUAAGGAUGUUUUGAUGUAUUUUUUAAAAUAAAAAGAGUAAUUAAUGUGUUCUUUUAUAUUACAAAAAUUAAAUAGUAAAUUUUACUUAAAAAAAAUUUAAAAUAUUUUCAAUAUGGAUGGACUAAUUAAUAAAUAUUUUUAUAAAAUUGAAAAAUUAAUUAAUAAAUUUUUAAUAUUAUAGGGAUUAAAAUGUAAAAUAUUUAAUAAUUAAAAUUAAUAUUAUAAUAAUUUAAUAUCCUAUGUACUGUUUAUGCAGUUUAACCACUUAUCCAUCAUCCUUCUCUAUCGACUUCCCAUAAACCAUAACCCAUCCUCGCUCUACACUCUUAUAAGGUACAGUUAUAAUAAUUUAAUAUUAUAAUAAUAUAAAAGAAUAAAUUUAAUUUCUUAUUAAAUAAUAUUUUUAUAUGAAAAAUUUAUAAAAAAAAUACAAAAUGUGGUGCAUAUAAACAACUAGUAAUGCAUUUCCUUUCCCAAUUUCCUUUUUAUCCUUACCACUUUACCAGCUGGCAGAGAGCCUUCCUUUUCCGAUUCUCUAUUUCCUUUCCUCAUUCCCAAUCUCCGAUCCAUCCCUAAAAACAACCGACGAGAGAUCGAUGAUGAUGAAGAUGCCUUGGAGGAGGAAGAGCAGGAGCUUCCAUCUUCAGCUACAAGGGGCAAUUGGUACCAUUCAAUCUCCAUUCCUAUUCUUAUUUACCAAUUAUUGCCAUUCUUCUACUUCCACACUUGAAGAUGCACUCUUCUUGACAAAUAACUUCAAAUCUGCUUCUUUUACCCACCUUGAUGAUGCCAUUGCUUCCUUCAAUCAUGUAAUUCAUAAGCAUCCUCUGCCUUCUAGGGUUCCAUUUAAUAGAUUCUUAUCUGCCCUUGUGAAAAUGAAACAAUAUCACACUGUCCUUUCCAUGUCCAAAACAAUUGAAUUGGUAGGAAUCUCUUACGAUGUUUGUUCUCUUAACAUCUUAAUUAAUUGCUUCUGCCGUUUACAUCUUGUGGAUUUUGGUUUCUCUGUUUUCGGGAAGAUGUUCAAAUUCUGAUUGGAGCCUACCACUGUGACAUUUACUACCUUAAUUAAUGGGCUUUGUAUGGAGAGUAAAAUCGAUAAAGCAGUGGAAUUUUUCGAUGAUAUGGUUGCACGUGGUUAUCAACCUAAUGUUUAUACUUACAAUGUGAUGGUAAACGGAUUGUGUAAAUUUGGGAAAACAAAUCUGGCUAUUGAGCUACUAAAGGAAAUGGCUGAUAGAGGUUGUGAGGCAGAUGUUGUGACAUACAAUGCAAUCAUUGACACCCUUUGCAAAGAUGAGCUAGUUGGUGAGGCUUUAGAGCUCUUCUCUCAAAUGAGGAAUAAGGGCAUUUCACCUCAUGUCAUCACUUACAAUAGUUUAAUUCAUGGUGUUUGCAAAUUAGGCCAAAAGAACCAAGCUUUGGCCUUGAUGAAUGAAAUGGUGGAGCAGAACAUAUUACCAGAUGUUUAUACCUUCAAUGUAUUGAUUGAUGCUCUUUGUAAGGAUGGAAUGGUUUCAGAGGCUCAAAAUACAUUCAAUGUAAUGAUUCAAAGAGGUGUAGAGCCUGAUGUGAUCACAUACACUUCCUUAAUUGAUGGUCUUUGCAUUUCAGACCAAUUCAAGGAAGCUUUGGCCUUGUUGAAAGAAAUGAUGGGGAGGAACAUAUCCCCUGAUGUUUUUACCUUCAAUAUAUUGAUAGACACUCUUUGUAAGAAAGGACUGGUUUCAAGUGCAGAGAAUAUAAUCAAAAUAAUGAUUCAAAGAGGUGUGGAACCUACCGUUGUCACUUAUAGUUCAUUGAUGGAUGGAUAUUGUCUGUGCAAGCAAAUUGAUAAGGCUAGAAAGGUAUUUGAUCUGAUGGUGACCAAUGAAAUAGCUAACAUUUUUAGCUACAACAUUUUGAUCAAUGGAUAUUGUAAGUGCAAAAUGAUAGAUGAUGCAAAGGAACUUUUUGAUGAAAUGUCUCAUAAAGGUUUACUUUCUGAUGGUGUUACUUAUUCUACUCUUAUAGAGGGUAUGUUUCAAGCAGGGAGGCCCCAAACUGCACAGGAGCUCUUUAAGAAUAUGUGCUCUCAUGGUCAACAGCCAAAUAUAGUAACCUUCUCAAUUAUGAUUAAUGGCUUGUGUAGACAGGGGAAUCUCGAUGAAGCACUCACCCUAUUGAAAGAAAUGGAGGAAAGUCAAUUGAAGCCUGAUCUUGUGACCUAUUGCAUUCUGAUCAAUGGUAUGUGCAAAGCUGGCAAGAUUAAUGAUGCCAAGGAACUGUUUUCUAGUCUUUUUGAAAAUGGUUUACAACCUAAUGUUCAUAUAUAUUGUGCAAUUAUGAAAGGACUCUGCCGAGAAGGAUUAAUAGACGAAGCAUAUAAUAUUUUUAGAGACAUGGAAAAGGGAGGAUGUUUACCGAAUAAUUGGUGUUAUAAUAUCAUCAUUCAAGGGUUUCUCAAGCAUAAGGAUUUACCAAAAGCAUCACAACUAAUCAACGAAAUGGUUGAUAAGGGGUUCUCUGCUGAU